CAGUUAACCUUCUCAGAGUGAGAAAAAAAGAAUGAAAGGGGAAAAAGACUAAUUAAUUGCUUCAUCAUAAGGAAUUGUUCAAUCGAGAAGUGACAUGGAAAAAUGCAUCCUCGUUGCAGGGUAUUGUGAGACCGCCCAUUGAAUGUUGGAAUCCAAAUUCUUCCUCAGCUUUGUGAAGCAAUUCCUGGAACGAACUGUGAUUCAGGUCAGUUGUCCUUGUGGACUAUAUAAUUUAUGGCAUGUGAAAAAGGGCCUACUUCACAUGGUGAGUAUUUUAUUUAACAUUUACAAUUUCCAAUUGAUUGAGUAAUAUAGUGAUGAGGGUGGCCAUAAAGUGGUAAUAUAUAUACCACUAUGCUCCCAUUGUUUCCACUUUUGACAAAUACAAUAUGCAUAUUUAUCCACAUUAUAUUUUUCUACCAAAUUGUAACUCCCAUGCUGCCUUAUUGUUGUUAGAGGUUCUCCACGAAAGUGCAAGUCCUUACAAGUACAAGUAGUUUCUGAAGUCACCACGUAUAUAUUUCUGUUUUCCAUAGUUGUGAAGCCAUUAUUUUAUUGUCUAAUAUCUUCACAAUUUGUGUCAGCUUAUGGCACAAUAAAGAAUUCUACCCUUCUGCUCAA
This is a long non-coding RNA of Solanum lycopersicum (tomato), 621 nucleotides long. RefSeq lists it as uncharacterized. The record is from RefSeq and is a predicted model, not a curated record. Lineage: Eukaryota; Viridiplantae; Streptophyta; Magnoliopsida; Solanales; Solanaceae.